Molecule: ribosomal RNA, 824 nt
Filed under: Cepaea nemoralis (banded wood snail)
Lineage: Eukaryota; Metazoa; Mollusca; Gastropoda; Stylommatophora; Helicidae
Description: partial 16S ribosomal RNA
Source: RNAcentral
GUCAAUUAAAAUUUUCCUAAUCGUUCUUCACGAAGCCGCAGGAGCUAACUACAUGCUAUUUUAGACUUGUAGAGGGCACGUGGCACUGUGCCUUCAUACGUGUAGUUAGGAGUGAUAGGCCUGCCAACUGCGUAGAUAUCUUGAUGUACGCGAAAAAUAUGUAGUAUAAUUUCGGACUGCGAAAGUUAAGCUUCGCAGUAUGUACAAAUAUUAGUAUCUUCUUUUAACGGCCUAAUCGUCUAUUAUUAAGGGCAAUCAUAUUUAUGUUGAGCUAUGUUGUAAUGUACUAGUGUACCGUGGUUGUUUCGUUGUUCUGUUGAGAAUGUUGUCAUGAGUAGUGUAAUUAAAUGGCCUGAAGGAACUCGGCAAAUCUGCCUCUCACCUGUUUACCAAAAACAUCGCUGUGCGUAAUUGACGUAUGGUACCUUCUGCUCCAUGGUAUGCUAAAUAGCCGCAGUACUCUGACUGUGCAAAGGUAGCAUAAUAAUUUGGCUUAUAAUUGAAGUCUGGUAUGAAAGAGCCAAUGGGAGGCAACUGUCUCAGGGGUAUUAGUACUAAAUUAGUAAGUAAGUGAAAAUACUUACGGUAAGAAAAUAGACGAGAAGACCCUAGAAGCUUGCUAUUUGUUUUGUUGGGGCGACAGAAUUGCAUAUGAACCAAUUUUACAGAUGUGACGUAGAGCAGGAAAAUUAAGCUACUCUAGGGAUAACAGCAUAAUAAAAUUUGUUUGUGACCUCAUGUUGGACUAGGUAGAAUAGUCCUUAGAAGGGACUAGAAAUGCUCUGUUCGAGCAGCUUAACCUACAUGAUCUGAGUUCAGACCGG